UUCAUAAUAACAACAAGAUAUAAUAUUUUCAGCAAACUCAUUAGACAUUACGCUUAUUUGUGACGUGUACACUUGACACGCGUGUGUUAAACUCGCUGAAAUAUCCCGAAAACGAAGCAACGAAGCGAAAAACUGCAAAAGAAGAUACUCUAUAGAUUUUUAUAGUUCUUUCAAAUAAGACAACGAAAGUUUUCGUUUCAUAUGCACUUUGCAUGAGUGUACCUAUAAUUAAACAUUUUG
Paramuricea clavata is the source of this 240-nucleotide non-coding RNA. The record is from the annotation of a GenBank genome assembly. NCBI's taxonomy places the organism in Eukaryota, Metazoa, Cnidaria, Anthozoa, Malacalcyonacea, Plexauridae.